RNAcentral lists this ribosomal RNA (407 nucleotides) under Pachygrapsus plicatus. RNAcentral's name for it is "partial 16S large subunit ribosomal RNA". It matches the Rfam family "Bacterial large subunit ribosomal RNA", at positions 1918 to 2597 of the family's 2925-position model. The record is from RNAcentral. Lineage: Eukaryota; Metazoa; Arthropoda; Malacostraca; Decapoda; Grapsidae.
UAUAGUUGAAGGGCCGCGGUAUUCUGACCGUGCAAAGGUAGCAUAAUCGUUAGUUCCUUAAUUGGGAUCUCGUAUGAAUGGUUGGACAAAGCAAAAGCUGUCUCUGUAGUUAAUAUUGAAUUUAACUUUUAAGUGAAAAGGCUUAAAUACGUUAGGGGGACGAUAAGACCCUAUAAAGCAUUUUAUUGGGGCGAUAAAAGUAAAAUUAAUAACUGCUUUAACAGUAAACACAAGUAGGUGAAAUGAUCCUGAAUAAAGAUUAUGAGAUUAAGUUACUUUAGGGAUAACAGCGUUAUUUUUCUUGAGAGUUCUUAUCGAAAGAAAAGCUUGCGACCUCGAUGUUGAAUUAAAAUUUCUCUUCAAUUGUAGCAGUUGAGGAAGAAGGUCUGUUCGACCUUUAAAAUUUU